This 1154-nucleotide ribosomal RNA is filed under the name Salmonella enterica. RNAcentral describes it as "partial 23S ribosomal RNA". It matches the Rfam family "Bacterial large subunit ribosomal RNA", at positions 711 to 1773 of the family's 2925-position model. Lineage: Bacteria; Pseudomonadati; Pseudomonadota; Gammaproteobacteria; Enterobacterales; Enterobacteriaceae. The record is from RNAcentral.
AGACCCGAAACCCGGUGAUCUAGCCAUGGGCAGGUUGAAGGUUGGGUAACACUAACUGGAGGACCGAACCGACUAAUGUUGAAAAAUUAGCGGAUGACCUGUGGCUGGGGGUGAAAGGCCAAUCAAACCGGGAGAUAGCUGGUUCUCCCCGAAAGCUAUUUAGGUAGCGCCUCGUGAAUUCAUCUCCGGGGGUAGAGCACUGUUUCGGCUAGGGGGCCAUCCCGGCUUACCAACCCGAUGCAAACUGCGAAUACCGGAGAAUGUUAUCACGGGAGACACACGGCGGGUGCUAACGUCCGUCGUGAAGAGGGAAACAACCCAGACCGCCAGCUAAGGUCCCAAAGUCAUGGUUAAGUGGGAAACGAUGUGGGAAGGCCCAGACAGCCAGGAUGUUGGCUUAGAAGCAGCCAUCAUUUAAAGAAAGCGUAAUAGCUCACUGGUCGAGUCGGCCUGCGCGGAAGAUGUAACGGGGCUAAACCAUGCACCGAAGCUGCGGCAGCGAACGUAUCACCCAAGACAACUUUACGGAGUUGACGAUUGACGGAGCGAAGCGACGUCAAAGCGUUCAUUAAAGUCGAGUUGGCUUAGGGAUACGUUCGUUGGGUAGGGGAGCGUUCUGUAAGCCUGUGAAGGUGUGUCGUGAGGCAUGCUGGAGGUAUCAGAAGUGCGAAUGCUGACAUAAGUAACGAUAAAGCGGGUGAAAAGCCCGCUCGCCGGAAGACCAAGGGUUCCUGUCCAACGUUAAUCGGGGCAGGGUGAGUCGACCCCUAAGGCGAGGCCGAAAGGCGUAGUCGAUGGGAAACGGGUUAAUAUUCCCGUACUUGGUGUUACUGCGAAGGGGGGACGGAGAAGGCUAUGUUGGCCGGGCGACGGUUGUCCCGGUUUAAGCGUGUAGGUGUGUGUUCCAGGUAAAUCCGGUUCACUUUAACACUGAGGCGUGACGACGAGGCACUACGGUGCUGAAGCAACAAAUGCCCUGCUUCCAGGAAAAGCCUCUAAGCAUCAGGUAACAUCAAAUCGUACCCCAAACCGACACAGGUGGUCAGGUAGAGAAUACCAAGGCGCUUGGGAGAACUCGGGUGAAGGAACUAGGCAAAAUGGUGCCGUAACUUCGGGAGAAGGCACGCUGACACGUAGGUGAAGUGAUUUACUCA